UAUGAAUUCAUGGCCUAAUGUAC
RNAcentral lists this non-coding RNA (23 nucleotides) under Cricetulus griseus (Chinese hamster). Lineage: Eukaryota; Metazoa; Chordata; Mammalia; Rodentia; Cricetidae. The record is from RNAcentral.